RNAcentral lists this small nuclear RNA (118 nucleotides) under Theobroma cacao (cacao). Its description in RNAcentral is "snRNA U5". It matches the Rfam family "U5 spliceosomal RNA". From Rfam's summary of the family: U5 RNA is a component of both types of known spliceosome. The precise function of this molecule is unknown, though it is known that the 5' loop is required for splice site selection and p220 binding, and that both the 3' stem-loop and the Sm site are important for Sm protein binding and cap methylation. Lineage: Eukaryota; Viridiplantae; Streptophyta; Magnoliopsida; Malvales; Malvaceae. The record is from Rfam by way of RNAcentral.
AGCCACGCGGUGGGCACAGAGCGAACUAUUCUUUCGCCUUUUACUAAAGAAUACCGUGUGCUCGCCGCAUGGGGUGGCAUACGCCAAUUUUUGAAGGGCCUUUCCUUCCCUGGAAAGC